CCUACGGGAGGCAGCAGUGAGGAAUAUUGGUCAAUGGGCGGAAGCCUGAACCAGCCAAGUAGCGUGCGGGAUGAAGGCCCUACGGGUCGUAAACCGCUUUUGCACGGGGAUAACACCCUCCACUUGUGGAGGUCUGCAGGUACCGUGCGAAUAAGGGCCGGCUAAUUCCGUGCCAGCAGCCGCGGGAAUACGGAAGGUCCGAGCGUUAUCCGGAUUCAUUGGGGUUAAAGGGAGGGUAGGCGGGCGUUAAAGUCAGCGGGAAAAUCGCGCGGCUCAACCGCGCCCCGGCGUUGAAACUGGGCGGCUUGAGUGGACUAGAGGAAGGCGGAAUGCGUGGUGUAGCGGUGAAAUGCAUAGAGAUCACGCAGAACCCCGAUUGCGAAGGCAGCCUGCCGGGGUGCGACUGACGCUGAGGCUCGAAGGUGCGGGUAUCAAACAGGAUUAGAUACCCCAGUAGUC
This 459-nucleotide ribosomal RNA is filed under the name uncultured bacterium. RNAcentral describes it as "partial 16S ribosomal RNA". It matches the Rfam family "Bacterial small subunit ribosomal RNA", at positions 338 to 795 of the family's 1533-position model. The record is from RNAcentral.